AUUGAACGCUGGCGGCAGGCCUAACACAUGCAAGUCGAACGAGUGGCGGACGGGUGAGUAAUGUCUGGGCAACUGCCCGAUGGAGGGGGAUAACUACUGGAAACGGUAGCUAAUACCGCAUACCAUCGGAUGUGCCCAGAUGGGAUUAGCUAGUAGGUGGGGUAACGGCUCACCUAGGCGACGAUCCCUAGCUGGUCUGAGAGGAUGACCAGCCAAACUGGAGCUGAGACACGGUCCAGAAUCCUACGGGAGGCAGCAGUGGGGAAUAUUGCACAAUGGGGGCAAGCCUGAUGCAGCCAUGCCGCGUGUAUGAAGAAGGCCUUCGGGUUGUAAAGUACUUUCAGCGGGGAGGCGUUACCCGCAGAAAAAGCACCGGCUAACUCCGUGCCAGCAGCCGCGGUAAUAU
This 406-nucleotide ribosomal RNA is filed under the name uncultured bacterium. RNAcentral's name for it is "partial 16S ribosomal RNA". It matches the Rfam family "Bacterial small subunit ribosomal RNA", at positions 30 to 526 of the family's 1533-position model. The record is from RNAcentral.